UACGGGGGGAGCAAGCGUUGUUCGGAUUUACUGGGCGUAAAGGGCGCGUAGGCGGCCAGCACAAGUCAGUUGUGAAAUCUCCGAGCUUAACUCGGAAAGGUCAACUGAUACUGUGCGGCUAGAGUGCGGAAGGGGCAACUGGAAUUCUUGGUGUAGCGGUGAAAUGCGUAGAUAUCAAGAGGAACACCAGUGGCGAAGGCGGCUCACUGGACCGGAACUGACGCUGAGGCGCGAAAGCGUGGGGAGCAAACAGG
RNAcentral lists this ribosomal RNA (254 nucleotides) under uncultured bacterium. Its description in RNAcentral is "partial 16S ribosomal RNA". It matches the Rfam family "Bacterial small subunit ribosomal RNA", at positions 524 to 776 of the family's 1533-position model. The record is from RNAcentral.